This is a non-coding RNA of Myodes glareolus (Bank vole), 1915 nucleotides long. NCBI's taxonomy places the organism in Eukaryota, Metazoa, Chordata, Mammalia, Rodentia, Cricetidae. The record is from RefSeq and is a predicted model, not a curated record.
GCUUGCCUCGCCCGGCACAGCCCCGGCCGCCGGGCGCACCCGUCCCGUUCGUCCCCGGACGUUGCUCUCUGCCCCGGGAACGUCGAGACUGGAGCGCCCGAACUGAGCCACCUUCGCGAACCCGGAGCGCGGCGGCCCGACUCACCGCGGAGGCGCCCGGACGCGUAAAGUGCGUACUUCCAACCGGGAACGUGUGCUGAGGCUUUUUAGGGGUGCGGGGUAACUCCCCAACAACGUGGGGUUCUGGCCGGCCCCGCCGCGGCGGUGGAGACCUUCUAAUCUGUCCCUGUGCGCGGCGCACCGCUGGCGACUUGGGUUCAGGGGCCGCGCGGGGCGGGGAGGUACCUUGACCUGGGGUCCCCGAGACCCUGAGCAAGUCCUGCUUCGUUACACUUCACAGUGACCCCCUCCAGGGCAAGGUUUCAACCCCAAAGGUAGCUCCCGGGAGCCGCACUGCCUAGAACACCUUAGCAAUCGCUGGGGCUUUUCUGGGGUGACGGAACCCCAGCCGGAUACGGCAGCUCCAGCCGCUCGCGUCCCGUGCGCUGCCCUCCCAGAAGAGACCAGCUGCCUAACUUUCCCGGCUGGAGACCGCUCUGGCGAACGGGGCGGGUGGGCGCUUGCCGAUUGCUCUCCACUAGCCAAGGAACUUGUCCGGAGAAGUCGAUCGCGGGGCAAGUGGCCCAGAGGGCGCGCAGGUAGGCGCCUGCCCUCGCUACCGGGUUUCCGAGGUCUCUGCCCGGGAACCCUUCGUAGGACCUGUGGCUGCUGCAGUUGGAGCCCCGAGUGUACCAUACUCAGAGAACAGAGUAGCCUGGGAAUGUGUCUCCUCUCCCUGUGGCUGAGGGACUUUCUCUGCUCGGUGGGAUGGGGUAUACACCCCAGCACUUCCCACCUGAGGGAAACCUGCAGACUCCUAUUGUUCCUAGCCGUCCUGGUAGGAUCUUUCAGGUGGACUAGGGAAAUUUCCCUGAACAUACCCGACUGGGGGUCCAACUCAUAUGGUUUUAUCCCAAAGCAGGGCUUCUCUGAGCUCACAGACCACCACCCCUCUUCUCUGUUGGACUGGGGUGGUAGAGUGAGAAGAGACACUUGCUGGGGAGUCUGAGAGGCAGAUUGGGGGCUUCUGAGACCUUAUCUUGGGUACAGCAAGACAUACUUCUCCUCAACCCAAGAGUCUCUCAUCUCUGGGAAGCGCAUGUCCUGCUUCUUGCCUCAAGAAUCAGGGAAUGAAACAGGUCCUCCCUUUCCACAUUCAGUUUCUGAAAAGGCCACCUGGGAUAUGUUCCUAUGUGUCUGGGAGCAUAUGCCACGUGGCAGUCAUAGUCUGGGACAGAUAUAAGUCCAGCACUGCUGGUCCUGCUCUAUGGACCAGUCACAUCCGAUCCUCACUUCCUCCUGAUGUGGGGCACCUGGGAAAGCAGCUGGUGGUCUUCCUGGGCAUCUGCUGGUGAUGUGGGAAACAGGCUACACCCCACACUUCAGGAUUCCAGAGCACUGGAUGAAGUACCCAGGCCCUUCUGACUCCUCUGGUCUCCUGGACAGACUGUCGGAAGACUCCAUGGAAGUUGGUGGACAGUGCCAGUGGCUUUCACAUCUCCCAGCAGGGGUACCUCCUAGGACUCAGAAAAGGCUUCAGCGCCAUCCUUAGAGAGGAGUGUUGGAGAACAAGUCUUGCGCCCUAGGACUGGCCCCAUUUCAUCAUGACUUGGUCGCAUGGACUCAGGCCUCUUUGGGAGCCCAGCCUUCCUGCCUGAACCAUCCUCACAGGAGUUCAUGCCCUCUGCCUGUUCUGUUCUUCCUCAGUGGCCAGCAGCCUGUCCAACAGAUAAAAUUUGUGUCUCCCUGGCAGCCCUGCCCCUCCUGGUCCAGCUGGGAUCCCCUGGAGUGACUUCUGGGAGGUGCCCAAUAAAAC